Gymnodraco acuticeps is the source of this 483-nucleotide long non-coding RNA. RefSeq lists it as uncharacterized. The transcript is spliced from 4 exons. Lineage: Eukaryota; Metazoa; Chordata; Actinopteri; Perciformes; Bathydraconidae. The record is from RefSeq and is a predicted model, not a curated record.
CAUUUAUUUUUGCCGUAGGGUGAAGCUGGUGCAUAGCAGUGAGACUCCACAAUAUUCAAGGGUGAAGCUGGUGCAUAGCAGUGAGACUCAAGAUUCAAGGAAGUUGAAAAAAGUGAGAAGAACCUCAUCUUGAUAGAAAAGCUCAUGCAGACGACUUUUGCCCUUCGUUGCCAGGAGAUCGUUCAGGAAAAUCCCUUGGUCGGGGACUUUUUAGAGAAAUGGCUGGCCCUCCGGAUGGAAUCACAGGUUUGUGCCGAGUUUCACCGAAUCACAAACGUCAACCUACGGAACCAGUUAUUUUCUGAACUAGACGGACACACCCUGAGGCCCUGCGUGAAAUCCUAAGGAUUUGUGAUUGUUGUGGAAAUAAUUAUCAUAAGACGCCAAUUAGUAACAUACAGGACAAACCUUGAUGUCUGUUUACCUUCUUUAAGGACACAGGCGGCUUAGCCAAUAAUGUUAUUGUUCCCAUUCUGUGACCGG